RNAcentral lists this ribosomal RNA (300 nucleotides) under uncultured Amphritea sp. Its description in RNAcentral is "bacterial SSU rRNA". It matches the Rfam family "Bacterial small subunit ribosomal RNA", at positions 115 to 418 of the family's 1533-position model. The record is from RNAcentral. Lineage: Bacteria; Pseudomonadati; Pseudomonadota; Gammaproteobacteria; Oceanospirillales; Oceanospirillaceae.
GCGUAGAAAUCUGCCUGGUAGUGGGGGAUAGCCCAGAGAAAUUUGGAUUAAUACCGCAUACGCCCUACGGGGGAAAGCAGGGGACCUUCGGGCCUUGCGCUAUCAGAUGAGUCUGCGUCGGAUUAGCUAGUUGGUGGGGUAAUGGCCUACCAAGGCGACGAUCCGUAGCUGGUCUGAGAGGAUGAUCAGCCACACUGGGACUGAGACACGGCCCAGACUCCUACGGGAGGCAGCAGUGGGGAAUAUUGCACAAUGGGCGCAAGCCUGAUGCAGCCAUGCCGCGUGUGUGAAGAAGGCCUU